UUCCGAGAGAAGCUUUUGGGGGAGUCCCCAGCUAAAACGUGAAUUUGCAUUUAAAUGGAGAUUUUUUUUUUCCUAAUGAGCAGGAUGCAUGGGAGACUCAGACUAUUAGGUUUCCUUAUGGGAGAGAGCAGAAUCCGCUCACCUUCUCCGUCCCACCCCCUCCCCGAACCCUUUAAUGCACGCUUUAAAUUAGACACCAAAAAAAAGGAAUAGUGCGUCUUUAAGGAGAAUAUAAUCAUAAACAAAUAAGUCUCGUUGCCCUUGCAGCAGAACUAAUCUUCCCUCAGCUGAGCCGCGAUAGAGAUCAGUAACAAGAGCCACGCGCAGGGGGUUCCUUUGAAAUGCAUAAUACCUCCUCGUAUAAAUUGGAGUUGGUGUGAUGGAGCUGCGAGAUGACAUAUUGUGGCAUGACCCCUCUCCACUGAUUGUGGGUGAACCCUGCAAAGGGAGUUUUCGGCAGAAAGAGCUCUCUGCGCGAAGCCUUCUCCCUGCUUCCCCCCACCUGCCUCCGUGGGCUUUUCAAGUACCAGGAGCGAUCAGGCAGCGUACAUCGUGCCCACGAGGAAUAGAGUCCUGCAAACCCGUAUCUCGUGUAGGACAAGUUACAGCUGACUGAAACGAUGCUCUGGCUGCUCUUUGUUCUUGGGAAGGGUUUCGUGUUUUGCUCUAUUCCGAGGCGGCUUUAGAAAGGCUCCUUGGGUGGGAGACGGCUGAUGUACGGGGAGCCGUGCCCCUGCCCCGCGCAGGGGUGUUUGCAGGGCUGCUGCAGCCCGGGUGAGACGUGUCCCGCUAAUCCGUCGCCCGCGGGAGCCCUGGGGCGAGCCCGGCCGUACGGGGUCCGUUUAAGUCGGUGAUAAACCAGCCCUCGGCGGCACAGAAAUGAGUCGUGCGGGACAGGACGAAGCCCGCGCUGAACUUCGCGCUCCCGCGUGCUGCCCCGAGCCGGCGCCGGCCCCGGCGCAUCCUUCCCUGCGCGGCGGGGAAGCUCCCGUCUCCGGCCGGAUCAGAGCCGUCGUGGGGCUGUAAUCCCGUCAGCACCUCCUCUCGCCUGAUGCCGAGUGACACGGCGAUUGUGCGCGUAACGGUGUGACAGCGAGAUGAGUUUGUCAGUUCUGCGUAGCGUGAUUGCCAUUUUUCCCGGGGAGAGGAGAGGAACGAAAUUGAAGGAGAAAAGGUCGGGAAGCCCUGGUCAUCCUCUCCCCUUCUCCCAGAUCGCUCGCUGCUCCGGACGGAAACGAGACCUGACAGGCUGCCCGGGAUGCCGGCGGCCGGGGAGAGCCGCGGGGAGAGCUCGUUAGAGCCGGGCUGAAGCGGUGCUAACGCGGCGCUCCGGAGCCCCCGGACCCCCUCAUUGCCGGUGGCACCUGCUAACGGCAAAGUGACAGUGACAAGUGCUUCGAUGAGACCUCGGUCCCCGCCACGUGCCGCCUCCCGCCCCGGCGCGAGCUUUGGCGGAAAAUGCCACCCUCCGCCUAAAAACCCCGCGGGGGGGGGUCCCGCUGGGGAAAACGGCCCUUUUUGUCUUCGCUUUCCACUUUGGUGCAGAAACAUCUCAGUCCCGGCCCGGGAGCAGGCUCCUCUCAGCUCAGGCCCCUGCCCAGUCCCUCUGGACUGGUUUUAAUGGGUUGCACGGGUUUUUUUUGCUUUCUAUUUGUUGAAGAAAGAAACUUUUUCACAGGGGACAUUGAGGAAAAAAAUCCUACGUUUUCUGGUGGAAAAAUGACCGCCAGUUUUGUUCACCUCUAUUUCCAUGUAAAUCAGGGUUGUUAAAAAGAGGGACCGUCCUUGGGGCGUGCAGGAUCUCACCUGGCUCGUCAACCCUUCGGCAGGGUUUGAGCUGCUCCCAGGCGAAGCGAGGGAAGAUGCUGCGGUUGCCGCGAGUGAACUGGGCGCUGGGUGGAGGAACCCACGCUCCGGCGAUGGGGACCGUCCCCAGAAGAGGGGCCCGGAGCUGCUGGGGGUCUCCGGCCCCGGAGGGUUUCCAACCUCACCCGAAGGUGCCCUGAGCAGCCCGAUCACGCGCGGGAGCUGGCGGCUUUCUGCAGACGUGCACUGAAGCGUCUCCUCAUCUGACCAACUCCGGAUCGUGCAACGUGGAGCAGACACGGGCGUUCUGAGUCUGCCCUGGACUUUUAGGUGCUUUUAUUCAGCCCAGACUUGCCGGGACAGGUUUCUUGACCAAGAGCGCAGACCAGGCCGGAGGAGAGGAGCUGGUGGCCUGGGGCUCCCUGCGAGGACAAAGCGCAAACGUGUCGGAGCCGUCGGGUCCCCACGGCACGUCUGCUCCGGGGGCUCCAGCUUCUUCCAAGUGCUCAGCCCGCCUCGCCCUGGCUCUUAUUUCCGUACUAAGCUGUGGAGCGGUGGAUUUAGAGAAAAGGUGCUUGUGUUGCUUGGCUCUGUGUGAGCUGCCCUUCGAAGCCGCUAUGACGGGCCUCGGGCGAGCGCAGGAAUCUGCUGCAAGUUCCCAUUUCGCGAAUGUGUCGCCAGUCAAAUAGCCUCCCUCCGUCUGAGCCUAUUUACUCUCUCGGGGAUCUAUUUUUAAAAGUUAUUAGCAGAUUACUGGUUUUCCAUCAACCUCCGGCACCAAUCUCCCAAAGAUACCAUUGUACUUUAAUAAGGUGCAUUUGAUAAUCCUUGGAUAAAGGCGCUGGAAGUGGGGGGAGGAGAGGGAAAAACUCUUGCACUGAUUUAUCCAAGGGAUACGGGCUAGAAAAGGGUUAAAUAUACUCAUGUUUCUAAAUGGCUGAACUACUGUAUGUUGUAGUUUUCAACUGCAAAUCAUCUUUAAUAGCAGACAUCACGGGAUGGCUCAUUACAUUAAGCUAUUUUUCAUGCUAUCUCCUGUAAUAUCCUUUAAUCCAAUGCGUUUCAAAUCACCUCAGGCUAAAAUAAGAGACAUAGCGAUGUAAUAGCCUAGUGUAUUAGUGGGUUAAUUGCCCUGUUGUACUCUCUAGUAGAUAUCUCUGGAAUGAGUUCUAUAUUAAUUGUAAAUUGCUUAAUACAUUUAACUCCUUGAGCA
Molecule: long non-coding RNA, 3019 nt
Organism: Dromaius novaehollandiae (emu)
Lineage: Eukaryota; Metazoa; Chordata; Aves; Casuariiformes; Dromaiidae
Exons: 2
Source: RefSeq, a predicted model, not a curated record